AUACGUAUGUCGCAAGCGUUAUCCGGAUUUAUUGGGCGUAAAGCGCGUCUAGGCGGCUUAGUAAGUCUGAUGUGAAAAUGCGGGGCUCAACCCCGUAUUGCGUUGGAAACUGCUAAACUAGAGUACUGGAGAGGUAGGCGGAACUACAAGUGUAGAGGUGAAAUUCGUAGAUAUUUGUAGGAAUGCCGAUGGGGAAGCCAGCCUACUGGACAGAUACUGACGCUAAAGCGCUAAAGCGUGGGUAGCAAACAGGAUUAGAUACCCUGGUAGUCCACGCCGUAAACGAUGAUUACUAGGUGUUGGGGGUCGAACCUCAGCGCCCAAGCUAACGCGAUAAGUAAUCCGCCUGGGGAGUACGUACGCAAGUAUGAAACUCAAAUAAAUUGACGGGG
RNAcentral lists this ribosomal RNA (392 nucleotides) under uncultured bacterium. Its description in RNAcentral is "partial 16S ribosomal RNA". It matches the Rfam family "Bacterial small subunit ribosomal RNA", at positions 523 to 918 of the family's 1533-position model. The record is from RNAcentral.